AGCUCCGGUAGCUUAGUGGUUAGAGCGUCCGACUAGGAUACUGGAGGUCGCGGGCUCGCACCCAGGCCGAGUCA
Non-coding RNA from Potamilus streckersoni, 74 nucleotides. The record is from the annotation of a GenBank genome assembly. Lineage: Eukaryota; Metazoa; Mollusca; Bivalvia; Unionida; Unionidae.